CAGUGUGAUGGAAGACAGGAGAAGCUGCACCAGGUUGAGCAGAGAAAGGUGUCGUAAAAGUACGGCCACUACUGUCAGAAA
Impatiens glandulifera is the source of this 81-nucleotide small nucleolar RNA. The record is from RefSeq and is a predicted model, not a curated record. NCBI's taxonomy places the organism in Eukaryota, Viridiplantae, Streptophyta, Magnoliopsida, Ericales, Balsaminaceae.